RNAcentral lists this ribosomal RNA (513 nucleotides) under uncultured bacterium. RNAcentral's name for it is "partial 16S ribosomal RNA". It matches the Rfam family "Bacterial small subunit ribosomal RNA", at positions 30 to 523 of the family's 1533-position model. The record is from RNAcentral.
AUUGAACGCUGGCGGCAUGCCUAAUACAUGCAAGUCGAGCGAACAGACGAGGAGCUCGCUCCUCCGACGUUAGCGGCGGACGGGUGAGUAACACGUGGAUAACCUACCUAUAAGACUGGGAUAACUUCGGGAAACCGGAGCUAAUACCGGAUAACAUGUUGAACCGCAUGGUUCAACAGUGAAAGACGGUCUUGCUGUCACUUAUAGAUGGAUCCGCGCCGCAUUAGCUAGUUGGUAAGGUAACGGCUUACCAAGGCAACGAUGCGUAGCCGACCUAAGAGGGUGAUCGGCCACACUGGAACUGAGACACGGUCCAGACUCCUACGGGAGGCAGCAGUAGGGAAUCUUCCGCAGUGGGCGAAAGCCUGACGGAGCAACGCCGCGUGAGUGAAGAAGGUCUUCGGAUCGUAAAACUCUGUUAUUAGGGAAGAACAAAUGUGUAAGUAACUAUGCACGUCUUGACGGUACCUAAUCAGAAAGCCACGGCUAACUACGUGCCAGCCGCCGCUGUAA